GUUUGAGAUGGCCUCUCGCCCUAUUCAGUGUAACAGCUGUGGUAGUGGGUUUGGUCGCUCGCAUUUAAAUUGGAAGGGUAAUGGUGGACCGCACUUCUCCCUUAGUAGGACGUUGCGACCUGUCAAAUAAUAUCCUAAGUAUUUGGCUAAUUUGUCUGUUUUUAGGCAGUACUGAAAGGUAUUUCCUUUAACAGUUUUAGCCGUUUAGAUACUGGAUAUAAUUGACAGUAACGAAUCAUGGUGUUGAGCCACUUACUUUGUAAGUGUCCUUUAUGGCUGUUUGCAAGUGGGUUGGUUAAUUAGUUUUAGUCGGAUUUCGGUCCGUCUAACUAUUCCGCCUACUGUUGGUAAA
RNAcentral lists this ribosomal RNA (352 nucleotides) under Triatoma infestans. Its description in RNAcentral is "partial 28S ribosomal RNA". The record is from RNAcentral. Lineage: Eukaryota; Metazoa; Arthropoda; Insecta; Hemiptera; Reduviidae.